UUCCCAUGGACGAAAGUCUGAUGGAGCACUGCCGCGUGAGUGAAGAAGGUUUUCGGAUCGUACAACUCUGUUGUUGAAGAAGAACAUGCCUGAGAGUAACUGUUCAGGUAUUGACGGUAUUCAACCAGAAAGCCACGGCUAACUACGUGCCAGCAGCCGCGGUAAUA
Molecule: ribosomal RNA, 167 nt
Filed under: uncultured Lactobacillus sp.
Lineage: Bacteria; Bacillati; Bacillota; Bacilli; Lactobacillales; Lactobacillaceae
Description: partial 16S ribosomal RNA
Rfam family: Bacterial small subunit ribosomal RNA
Source: RNAcentral